CUUUGCAGACUCAAGAAGGGCCCAGUGCCUAAGUCUUCUCUGCAUUCACAUCAAUGAAUCGCAUUCUUUAAUUGUUUAUGAAGGGGCACAGGGGGCCAUGAAAAUAACAAGACCUAAGGUUUGACUGACUCCGGGUAUCUGGCUGGAGGAGCUGAACGGACCAGGAGACAGGCUUCUUGUGGGGGUGGGCAUCUUGGAUAAAUUGAACAGAAGAGGCUCCAUGUCUUACCUGGCAGCAGUCGAGGAAGAGGUGGAAGAAAGUUCCGUGAAGAGCGAAAAUGGAGAUGAGAAGGCAGAGCCAUCUCCUCAGUCUUGGUCUUCACUUUGGAAGCAUGACAAGGACAUGGAGGAAGACAGAGCUUCCUCAUCCUCUGGAACAAUUGUUCAGG
Molecule: small RNA, 389 nt
Filed under: Pan troglodytes (chimpanzee)
Lineage: Eukaryota; Metazoa; Chordata; Mammalia; Primates; Hominidae
Description: processed transcript
Source: RNAcentral